UGUCCUACGGGAGACAGCAGUAGGGAAUCUUCCACAAUGGGCGAAAGCCUGAUGGAGCAACGCCGCGUGGGUGAAGAAGGUCUUCGGAUCGUAAAACCCUGUUGUUAGAGAAGAAAGUGCGUGAGAGUAACUGUUCACGUUUCGACGGUAUCUAACCAGAAAACCACGGCUAACUACGUGCCAGCAGCCGCGGUAAUACGUAGGUGGCAAGCGUUAUCCGGAUUUAUUGGGCGUAAAGGGAAACGCAGGCGGUCUUUU
Molecule: ribosomal RNA, 258 nt
Filed under: uncultured bacterium
Lineage: Bacteria
Description: partial 16S ribosomal RNA
Rfam family: Bacterial small subunit ribosomal RNA
Source: RNAcentral